GGUAGAGGGAAGAAGGUCUUCAAAAGGCAUCAGUGGGCUUCAAAGAGUUAGCCGGCUCAAAGCGUAGAGCGAUUUAGGAUCAGAUCUGUACUGGGUUAGGCUUUGGAUAGUUGGAUAGAUCGCCUUAAGGCUAUAAAGGCCAUUCAAGGGCAGGCGAGCGAAUUCUAUCUAUGCCUAAGAUGAGGAAGAAAAUAAGCAGAUUUUGGCUUGGCAUUACUAUUGUCGCACCAGUCUUCCUUCCUUUUUAGUAGCCGAAGGUGAGAAGGAAGAGCUCACUCUUCCCGUAGGCAGUUUCA
RNAcentral lists this long non-coding RNA (296 nucleotides) under Nicotiana benthamiana. Its description in RNAcentral is "long non-coding RNA (NBEN_LNC039103)". The record is from RNAcentral. Lineage: Eukaryota; Viridiplantae; Streptophyta; Magnoliopsida; Solanales; Solanaceae.